CGCGCCGCGAGACUGGAGAGCGCGGCCAUGGCGGGACCGGGCGUCCCCGGUGCCCCCGCAGCCCGCUGGAAACGCCACAUCGUGCGGCAGCUGCGGCUUCGGGACCGUACGCAAAAGGCGCUUUUCCUGGAGCUGGUGCCGGCCUAUAACCAUCUCUUAGAGAAGGCUGAGCUGCUGGACAAGUUCUCAAAGAAGCUGCAGCCGGAGCCAAACAGUGUCACUCCCACCACCCACCAGGGCCCCUGGGAGGAGUCAGAGCUUGACUUAGACCAAGUCCCAUCACUGGCCGCACUGAGGGUGAAGUGGCAGGGUGAGGAGGAGGGGCUCCGGCUGGUCUGUGGUGAGAUGGCCUACCAGGUGGUGGAGAAGAGCGCGGCCCUGGGCACCCUGGAGUCGCAGCUGCAGCAGAGGCAAAGCAGGCUGGCGGCCCUGGAGGCCCGCGUGGCGCAGCUGCGAGAGGCGCGGGCGCAGCAGGUCCAGCAGGUGGAGGAGUGGCGGGCGCAGAACGCGGUGCAGCGGGCAGCCAACGAGGCGCUGCGCGCGCACGUCGGGCUCCGGGAGGCGGCACUGCGCAGGCUCCAGGAGGAGGCACGCGAGCUGCUGGAGAGGCUCGUGCAGCGCAAGGCGCGCGCCGCAGCCGAGCGCAACCUGCGCAACGAGCGCCGGGAGCGGGCCAAGCAGGCGCGGGUGUCCCAGGAGCUGAAGAAGGCUGCCAAGCGGACCGUGAGCAUCAGCGAGGGCCCGGACACCCUAGGCGAUGGGAUGAGGGAGAGAAGCGAGACUCUGGCUCUGGCCCCUGAGCCAGAGUCCCUGGAGAAGGAAGCUUGUGAGAAGUGGAAGAGGCCCUUCAGGUGAGGACCCAGGUGACGGUCUCAGAGCUCUGAGCUGAGCCCCACCCCAGAGGCUGCCAGGGUCUUCCUCUUGGACCGUGGAGUCAGCUCUUGGGUUGGGAGGAAGCUUGAGGAGAGGCCGGAAAGCUCAGAUCUCCCAGGUCUAGUCUGACAUGCAUUGUCUGGAGCCACUUGGGGUCAGUUCCAUCUCACCCCCUCAACCCCUACCCUCAACCCUUUUCCUCCUUCUUGGGAAUCAGAGCUCUGGGGGUGGGGUGUCAGGCUUGUGAAUAGCUGUCACCAGGAGAGAACCUGUGGGCAAAGCCCAGAGCCCAGUCAUGUCAGGCAUGUGUGUGCAGCCAUAGGUGUGCAAGCAUGUGCAUCCGCAGGGACAUAGGCCACAGGUGUGUACAAGCUUGACUGAGCCUGUCUGUGUGUGUGAAUAUAUUAGCAUGUGUAGAUGUGUGCUCACACUUGUGGGACCUGAUUGGGGCUUCAGACCUUGGGUGCCUGUCCGCAGGGUCUCCUCCAUCCUUCUUGAUUUGCCUGUCAUUGAGGCUGCCCCCUCCAGGCUCCAUUCCCCAGCCUAACACCUCUUCUCAGUCUUUCCUUGCAGGUCCCCGGUGUCCCGGCCUUGGGGCAGUGAAGAAACCGUGGGGAGGGGCAUGAGAUGCCAGUCCCCAAAGUCCUUGGGAGCCCUUGUGGGCCAAGUCAUUGCAGGACACACCCUCUCCUGGGCAUUGCUGAGGUCACCUAGUGAGCCUAGGCUUCCCCCUUCUUCCAUCCCCAGCCUGGGGGAAUCUUCAGCAUCUCUCUUCCCUGUAGGCCCCAGCUCAGCUUCCCAGGAACUUUUGUUUUUGGGUACUUGUAGGGUAAGGCAGUUCUUCCCAUCGUGAGGGAGACCUUGGGAGACUUUCACUACCAAAUCUAUUGCUGCCCCGACCUUCCUGGGACUGGUCUGGGUCACCCUAGUCUCCUGGUCUUGGAGAAGUCAAGUUCUUAUCCCAGACUUGAGAGGUUACAAGCCUCCAGGUCUCUGGCAAAGUGUGGAGAUGAUGGACAGCCAUUGGUACACACACCAGCCAAUCCCUUAGCAUAUCUCUCUCGGUUUUGUCUCAGGUCUGCCUCAGCCACCUCCCUGACGCUGUCCCACUGUGUGGAUGUGGUGAAGGGGCUUCUGGAGUAAGUGUGUGUGUGCCUGUGUGUGCACCCAUGUGUGUGUCGGGCUCCCCAGCCCAGGCUUGGUCUGUGUCUGCGCUUCGACCUGUCCAUCCCUGUGAUGCGCAGCUGUCUGCCUGUGAGUCUGUUGGGCCCUGGAGACAGGAGCCAGGUGAAUGGCCUCAGCCCCAGCCCCGGUUCAGCUGUCUUCCAGGUUCUGUCCUCACAAGGGUCUGUCUUCAUCCAAGGUCGUCACAGGGGACCAAAAGCUCCAGCCUCAGGCAGGGCAGGAGCUCCUACUCAAUUGGGAAAAAUGCUCUGAAAUGUCAGGGACUCAUUCAGAGUCACAGAGCCAAGCAGUGGCAAGACUGGGAUUGAAACCCCAGCCCUGAGGUUUCUUUGCACCCACCAACCCUACCCUGCUCCUGUGUCUGCCUCUGUGUGCUCCCCACCCUGUCUCCACACCAACCCCUGGGGUCGAGGCUGGGUUGGGGAAUGCGCUCACUGCUCCUUGGGGCCAUGUUCUGCCGCCUGCCAUGUCUGCUUCCUAUAGUUGAUGCCUCAGGGGAGCUGGAGGCUCCCACCUGAGAAGGCCUUGCUGAAUGCCCUCCUGACCCCAACCCACCUUACCCCAGUUUUAAGAAGAGGAGAGGUCACUCAAUUGGGGGAGCCCCUGAGCAGCGAUACCAGAUCAUCCCUGUGUGUGUGGCCGCCCGACUUCCUACCCGGGCUCAGGAUGUGCUGGAUGCCCACCUCUCUGAGGUCAAUGCUGUUCGUUUUGGCCCCAACAGCAGCCUCCUGGCCACUGGAGGGGCUGACCGCCUGAUCCACCUCUGGAAUGUUGUGGGAAGUCGCCUGGAGGCCAACCAGACCCUGGAGGGAGCUGGUGGCAGCAUCACCAGUGUGGACUUUGACCCCUCGGGCUACCAGGUUUUAGCAGCAACUUACAACCAGGCUGCCCAGCUCUGGAAGGUGGGGGAGGCACAGUCCAAGGAGACAUUGUCUGGACACAAGGAUAAGGUGACAGCUGCCAAAUUCAAGCUAACGCACCAGGCAGUGACUGGGAGCCGCGACCGGACAGUGAAGGAGUGGGACCUUGGCCGUGCCUACUGCUCCAGGACCAUCAAUGUCCUUUCCUACUGUAAUGACGUGGUGUGUGGGGACCAUAUCAUCAUUAGUGGCCACAAUGACCAGAAGAUCCGGUUCUGGGACAGCAGGGGGCCCCACUGCACCCAGGUCAUCCCUGUGCAGGGCCGGGUCACCUCCCUGAGCCUCAGCCACGACCAACUGCACCUGCUCAGCUGUUCCCGAGAUAACACACUCAAGGUCAUCGACCUGCGUGUCAGCAACAUCCGCCAGGUGUUCAGGGCCGAUGGCUUCAAGUGCGGUUCUGACUGGACCAAAGCUGUGUUCAGCCCGGACAGAAGCUAUGCACUGGCAGGCUCCUGUGAUGGGGCCCUUUACAUCUGGGAUGUGGACACCGGGAAACUGGAGAGCAGACUUCAGGGACCCCAUUGCACUGCUGUCAACGCCGUGGCCUGGUGCUACUCCGGGAGCCACAUGGUGAGCGUGGACCAGGGCAGGAAGGUUGUGCUCUGGCAGUAGGGCCACGAUUUCCCUGCCUGGGCUGGAGCUCUUGCCCGAAGCCUGAAGCUUCCCUUGGCACCAUGCGGGGGUUGGGGUUGGGACUGGAGAUGGCCUUGGGAUUUAAUGGGGAAGAAGGCCUGGCAGGACCUGGCCUGUUUGUUUAAAAAUGAAGUAUGGGUUGGGGGAUUAUGCUAGUUUUUCUUUGUAUUUUUAUCUCUAUCUCCUCACUUUCUCUCUCAAAGUAGAAAAAAAUGAUAUCUAAA
Molecule: small RNA, 3838 nt
Filed under: Pongo abelii (Sumatran orangutan)
Lineage: Eukaryota; Metazoa; Chordata; Mammalia; Primates; Hominidae
Description: retained intron
Source: RNAcentral